This 408-nucleotide ribosomal RNA is filed under the name uncultured bacterium. RNAcentral describes it as "partial 16S ribosomal RNA". It matches the Rfam family "Bacterial small subunit ribosomal RNA", at positions 28 to 526 of the family's 1533-position model. The record is from RNAcentral.
GACGAACGCUGGCGGCGUGCUUAACACAUGCAAGUCGAACGAAGUGGCGAACGGGUGAGUAACGCGUAAUCAACCUGCCCUUCAGAGGGAUACAACAGUUGGACACGACUGCUUAUACCACAUACGGCAGAAGGGGUUUGCGUCUGAUUAGCGAGUUGGCGGGGUAACGGCCCACCAAGGCGAUGAUCAGUAGCCGGUCUGAGAGGAUGAACGGCAACAUUGGGACUGAGACACGGCCCAGACUCCUACGGGAGGCAGCAGUGGGGAAUCUUCCGCAAUGGACGAAAGUCUGACGGAGCAACGCCGCGUGAGUGAUGACGGCCUUCGGGUUGUAAAGCUCUGUUAAUCGGGACGCGGUACCGGAAGAGAAAGCCACGGCUAACUACGUGCCAGCCGCCGCGGUAAUUC